CUCAGGGGAGAGAGAUCAAACAGCUGCUCUCAGCAGACCUAGAUUUCAGGGAAGGGCAGUAGUAGGUACCAGGGGGCACUUGUCAGUCAUCACCAUCAUGUUUGGUGAGGCCGCAGUACUCAUUGGCUGCGGUGGAGAAAGCUGUUCUCAGUGUGCUGCCUUGCUCAGUUUUGACUGUCUGCAGGGUAAAACACUGCAUGACAUUGGAAAUAAAGUGCAAAAGAUGUAGCACUGGCUUCCUUUAAACUGCUGUCUGUACACACUUAGGUCUGCCCUUAGGAGGAGACUUUGCUUACCAGGGGAAUUUCCCAACCUCUCUCUUCCCUUUCCCUACAUAACUUUCCUUCUCUAUCCCACUCUCAUAAAAGCAGAUGGGGCAGAUGUGCUAAGUUUUCCAAGACUAAUUGAUACUAGACUGAACUUGACUCAUCCCCUGAUUCUGGUCCAGGUUGGGUUGCCUUGCAAUGAUUCAGCAAAUGGAAACAGGCUGUCAUUAUACUGUGACAUGACAGCUCUGUAUUCACAUGUAUAUGACAAAUCAUCCAGAAUUAUGUUCUUACACAUCUGCUACGUGUUACUCAAACACAUUGGUUCACACCUAGAUCCACUCAAAGCUUCUAAAUGCAGUAUAGAAUUACAGGCAAACCACUAAUUCCUCCUGUUGCUGCUCUCCUUUGGGUAACAGCUGAGGGAAUAGAACUAUUUGAGACCUGCUUACAAAAUCUGACGUACAGUUUGAGAUUUUACAAAUUUAUUUGAUCCUCUGGGUUUUAGAGGAGGUCCUCCAGUUAGAACAUCCAUUAAGGUUUUUGAGGAAAAUAGAGGAAACUUGACUGUGUCUUUAUGUGCAUUGAUUUCACCACAGCUGAAAGUCACAGUAGAUGUGAAACCCAUCAGUCUAAAUCCAAACAGUGCUAGAGCACGUCUGCAGGAUAGCUCCUGGCUCACUUUGAACAAGAGCAUCCUUCUGUGCCUUCUGUGUGAAAUGUCUGGAGGAAAUGGUUUGCUGUGUUCUAGGAAGACACUGGUGUCACGUGCAACACCAUCAGAGGAGCAGUGGGGAGGAAAAAAGGUCCCUGGGAUGGUGCAGAAAUUGUCACAAGAGCACACACGUCUGAGCAACAGGCAACAACUGUGCUGUUCAUGGCUUUGUUGACUCAGGAGGUUGCCGGAGGCUGCACAGUGAUAAGAAGGACAAAGUCCACACCUGUUCUCUCAGUACAAACACCCUUAUCUCUGUUCCACUGCAGCCCCUCUCCCAGGGGCUGAGUAGUCCAAGGAGCAACUCCACAGCAGUUAAAGUGUGACACAGAUGGUGGCAGUUACAGCUUUUGGAAGAACCUGCUUAAAAUAGAACAUUUGUUUCUCUUUUACAUUGGAGCACUUGCCACAGAGGCUUCUGAUUUUUAGCAUCUUCCCUUAACUAUCUUUGUCUUUCAAAAGCCUCAAAUUGAGCUGAAUUUAAGAAAGCUUUUUUUUCCUCAUGGUUUUAUUGUUGCUUUUGGUUUUUUUCCUCGUGCUGCCUAAAUCAGUCUCCUGCCUUUGUACUUGUGAUAGUCUGCCCAUCACCUGCGCCUUGUGUUCAUUGUCCAAUUCCCUGUAUAGAGGAGGAAAGACUGACUGGGAAGCUGGCCUCUUCAGUUUGAGUUUUGGCUCAGAUAGGAAGAGGAAAGACUCUGGAAGUCUCUGUUAUGUGUCAGUUCCUUUCUGCACCCCAGUCGAGUCAGUUCUGUCUCUCCUGUUGAGAUCCUCACUUUGUGGCAGGAAUAAAACACUAAGUUCUGUGAGUCUCUUCUCAUAGUGGUUAAAGUCUUGUGGGUUUUGUCGACUUUUGACACAGUAGGGGGCUUUGUGAUGCAAAAUAGCGCCGAGAAUCUUAGUACUGUGUGAUUUCCUAGGACAGCUGUAUGAAAUCCUGUCUACUCUGUACAUUAUCAAAGGGCAGUCUGCAAAACCAAUGCAGCAAGUCCUUUAGGCCCAAGGCUACACCACAGUCCAAGUGAUUACAGUCUGGCCAGCUGACCCCUUGCUCAAAUACACAGUUCCACCUGCAGAGCCUCCUCACAGGCUAAGACAUCAGAAGUUGAAACCUUUUCUCUUUUACUGGCUAUAAGACUAUCAUUGACUGUCAGAGGGGAGGAUUUCACUCUUAACUGAGUUCUCCUGCUUGUUUUUAUGGUCAAAUCUCAAUUGUUUCAGUGAGUCAGAACUGCAUAAAUGGGUCUGCCUUGUUCAAUCUCUCCUUCCCUCUCUCCAACACUGUUUUCUGCCUUUUAGUUUCCCUCUCUCCUCAGAUGCAAACCGUCUCCCCAAGGUCUUGUUCUCCAGGGUCUAAUCUGUCUCCUAGUUGGUCUCACAGGUAGCUUUUACUUCCUUCUUCUGAACUCUUGUUCUCCUGCUCUCAGUUGCUUAUUGUCAUGUGAUCAUAGCCCAUCUCCAUGGCUCAUCCCCACCACAGGGGCCAGGGGUUCUCCAUGUCAGCUUCCCAUUUCCUUAGUUCUGAGGUGGGAGAAGCCUCCAUUUCCCUGAGGUGGGUUCUGAAUUGCUGCUUUGGACCAGACCCUACUCAAGCAGAGGUUCAGGGUGAAGUGCUCAGGAUCAUCUCCGGCCCUUUCCUCUGGAGCUGCUCCACAGCCCAGGCAGAGCCUGGAGCCAGGCUGGGCACAGGGAAGGUGGAUUGCUGUACCUCUCUCCAUUGGAUUGAUACCUCUCUCCAUUUGCUUUACCUGCAGUAGUCUGAUCCCUUCCCCCAAGCCCCGACUCCAGCAGCGCUUCCAGCAGCUCCACUUGGAGAUGAGUCAGCUUCGAGACCAUGGUCUUCAGCCUGCUGUCUCUUGGGUUUGAAUUUCGGGUUAUCCUGCUUCCAGCUUCCCUACACCAUGGUCCUGAGGUAACGCGCCCGACUGUCAGGAGAGUGGGCACAGCACAGCCUCCCGCCUUCACACCCCCCCAAAAAAAACAAAAUACAAAAUUGAGCCACUUCAGACCCCCCACAACUGUCCUGAGCCAGUGCUGAUAAAGGGACCCUUGGCUAUCUGUUUACAUUGGAGCAAAUGUAAAUUCUCCAAGGUUCAUAUUUAUCUGUGUGCUUUAGCAAGUUACUGAACUUUGGACUUCAGCACUGCCGCAGCAGUUCACAAAGUGCAGAGGGAGAGAAAGCAGGGGGAGGGGGAAAGGGAGGGAAGCAGGAGAGAGAAGGAGAGGAAAAUGAAGGGAUAAAAAAUCUGCAGCAUGGAAAAGUGAGUAUGGAAAGAAAACUAGGAUGAUGGCAAUGGAGAAGCAUGGCUUACUUCUGGCCCCAUUAGUUUUGGAGAAGGAAGGAGGUGGAGCACCCUAAAGGAAGAGCUGUGCUUGGUUGCCCAUGGUUCAGGACAAGGUGCUGCCGUUGGAAUAUCGCAGAACCUGCUCAGAGCCCUGGCAGUGCUGAAGUGCAGCCAGUGUCAUGCCCUGCCAAAGGCUUUGGGCUGACAGAAAGCCACAGUGGCAGUGCACUGGCCUUUGUGCAACCCCCAGCAGGGGGGGGCGAUCACUGGCUUUAUGUGAAUGUUCCCAAGCCUCGCAGGGUGUUCUGAAGCUCCAGCUGAUUUCUGUGGCAGAGCAUCAAAACUUAAGUGACUUUUUCAAUUCUGGCUUUGGCUUGCCGGGUACCUUGAUGUGCAAAUACUAGUAGUACCUCCAUUUUAUCUGGCCAUGUUUAUUGCUCAACUGUGAGCAGGAGCAGUGUUAAUAAUUUGGGGGAUUACAGGGCUUGCCCCUCUGAGCUUGUGAUUCGUGUAUUUGAUAAAGGAUAGCCCUGGGUGCUGGGUCAUGCUCUGUCAUCAACUGCCCUACUGCUUCUGAUGAGUGCUCUGGGCAAGCUUGUGGUUCCCCUUUAUCAUCUGACUCCAAUCCCUUCUUGAUACCAGCCCUGCUCUGAGGUUCUGCUCCCACCUGUUCGGUGAUUUCCUAAAACAUGAUCCCUGGCUUGGCUGGAAUCCCUUAAUACACUUCUCCGGGAAUCUUUAUCACUAAAUGGUCUUUUCUGGUCUGAAAUGAUAUGAAUGGAUCUAUCUAUUUUGAGUGCCUAAAUUAGGGAGUAACUUGAUGUGCACAUGUGGACUCGAUACACGAGUGCCUCAUGCGAGUGAUUCCUUGGAGGAUGUAAAGCUGUUGUCUCAAUAGAAGCUUUCCAGGCACAGCUGCCUGUGUCUAUACACUCCCACCAAACAAGAGCUAAACGGAGCCUGGCAGGGCUGUCCCCAGGCUGGGCAGUGUCCCAGGACAAUGCUGCAGAGGACCUUGGCCCCUGUUUUCCCUCGUGGGCACCGCUGGCCAAGCUCUCCCGGCUCCUGAGUAAGCAGCUGAAGGACAGAGUUCCUGCACAGGGACCCUCCUCCCUGCAGGCACCGGGCGGGACUCUGUUAACUCUUGCCUUUUAUUUCAGAUCUGCGCCCGGAGCACCACGUCCCCUCCCUGCAGGGCGUUAACAAAGCUUUAAUGGAAACGGACGGCUUUCUGUGGCUACAAAGGAGUAAGAGUUCCGAGCCCAUGUAAAAACAUUUAUUGUAAGAAAUUUUCAUGCGAACAUUAAUGUAAAAAGACAACUUCAGCUUCUAAAUGUUUUUUUUUGGGUCAUAGUCUUAAUAAAGAGUUAUGCUGGUUUUGCA
Molecule: RNA transcript, 4646 nt
Organism: Oenanthe melanoleuca
Lineage: Eukaryota; Metazoa; Chordata; Aves; Passeriformes; Muscicapidae
Gene: C15H12orf43
Gene name: chromosome 15 C12orf43 homolog
Exons: 4
Source: RefSeq, a predicted model, not a curated record